UACGUAGGGGGCAAGCGUUGUCCGGAAUUACUGGGCGUAAAGAGCUCGUAGGUGGUUUGUCGCGUUGUUCGUGAAAACUCACAGCUCAACUGUGGGCGUGCGGGCGAUACGGGCAGACUUGAGUACUGCAGGGGAGACUGGAAUUCCUGGUGUAGCGGUGGAAUGCGCAGAUAUCAGGAGGAACACCGGUGGCGAAGGCGGGUCUCUGGGCAGUAACUGACGCUGAGGAGCGAAAGCGGGGGGAGCGAACAGG
RNAcentral lists this ribosomal RNA (253 nucleotides) under uncultured bacterium. RNAcentral's name for it is "partial 16S ribosomal RNA". It matches the Rfam family "Bacterial small subunit ribosomal RNA", at positions 524 to 776 of the family's 1533-position model. The record is from RNAcentral.